This 82-nucleotide transfer RNA is filed under the name Nematostella vectensis (starlet sea anemone). It matches the Rfam family "tRNA". From Rfam's summary of the family: Transfer RNA (tRNA) molecules are approximately 80 nucleotides in length. Their secondary structure includes four short double-helical elements and three loops (D, anti-codon, and T loops). Lineage: Eukaryota; Metazoa; Cnidaria; Anthozoa; Actiniaria; Edwardsiidae. The record is from Rfam by way of RNAcentral.
GGUAGCGCGGCCGAGCGGUCUAAGGCGCUGGUUUAAGGCACCAAUCUCGAAAGAGGCGUGGGUUCGAAUCCCACCGCUGCCA